RNAcentral lists this long non-coding RNA (4219 nucleotides) under Pelobates cultripes (western spadefoot toad). The record is from RNAcentral. Lineage: Eukaryota; Metazoa; Chordata; Amphibia; Anura; Pelobatidae.
CGUCACCAUAACUCCGCCCAUCUAGUGGCCGGAAACACUGACGUGACCAUGUGACACCCUCUCACUCUAAACCCCGCCCCUUCUAAAGCCCGCCCCCUCCGCGUGUUGUGGAAAGACGGAUCUCUGUCUAUUGGACGAUACUCGUCACGUGACUCUGAGAUAAGAGGCUUGAAACGCAAACCCCGGAAAUGAAGGGCCUGUCAGAGCGAGAUGGGAUAAUUUCCGGAUUCUGAUCGGAAUCACCAGCUUCACCUCCACCUCUGUGAGUUAAUUACCCAUAACCCCCUGCUCCCCCUCCUCCAUCAUUGGAAUCUAAUUACCCAUAACCCCCUGCUCCUCCUCCUCCAUCAUUGGAAUCUAAUUACCCAUAACCCCCUGCUCCUCCUCCUCCAUCAUUGGAAUCUAAUUACCCAUAACCCUCUGCUCCUCCUCCUCCAUCAUUGGAAUCUAAUUACCCCCCAUAACCCUCUGCUCCCCCUCCUCCAUCAUUGCAAUCUAAUUACCCAUAACCCCCUGCUCCCCCUCCUCCAUCAUUGGAAUCUAAUUACCCAUAACCCCAACCUCCUGCUCCUCCUCCUCCAUCAUUGGAAUCUAAUUACCCAUAACCCCUUGCUCCCCCUCCUCCAUCAUUGGAAUCUAAUUACCCAUAACCUCCUGCUCCCCUUCCUCCAUCAUUGGAAUCUAAUUACCCAUAACCCCCCUGCUCCUCCUCCUCCAUCAUUGGAAUCUAAUUACCCAUAACCCCAACCUCCUGCUCCUCCUCCUCCAUCAUUGGAAUCUAAUUACCCAUAACCCCUUGCUCCCCCUCCUCCAUCAUUGGAAUCUAAUUACCCAUAACCUCCUGCUCCCCUUCCUCCAUCAUUGGAAUCUAAUUACCCAUAACCCCCCUGCUCCUCCUCCUCCAUCAUUGGAAUCUAAUUACCCAUAACUCCCCUGCUGCCCCUCCUCCAUCAUUGGAAUCUAAUUACCCAUAACCCCCUGCUCCCCCUCCUCCAUCAUUGGAAUCUAAUUACCCAUAACCCCCUGCUCCCCCUCCUCCAUCAUUAGAAUCUAAUUACCCAUAACCCCCUGCUCCUCCUCCUCCAUCAUUGAAAUCUAAUUACCCAUAACCCCCUGCUCCUCCUCCUCCAUCAUUGGAAUCUAAUUACCCAUAACCCCCUGCUCCCCCUCCUCCAUCAUUGGAAUCUAAUUACCCAUAACCCCCCUGCUCCCCCUCCUCCAUCAUUGGAAUCUAAUUACCCAUAACCCCAACCUCCUGCUCCUCCUCCUCCAUCAUUGGAAUCUAAUUACCCAUAACCCCUUGCUCCCCCUCCUCCAUCAUUGGAAUCUAAUUACCCAUAACCUCCUGCUCCCCCUCCUCCAUCAUUGGAAUCUAAUUACCCGCUCCCCUCCUCCAUCAUUGGAAUCAUUACUCAUAAACCUCCUGCUCCCCUCAUCAUUGGAAUCUAAUUACCCAUAACCCCCUCUCAUCAUUUGGAAUCUAAUUACCCAUAACCCCUGCUCCCCUCCUCCAUCAUUGUAAUCUAAUUACCCAUAACCGCCUGCUCCCCCUCCUCCAUCAUUGUAAUCUAAUUACUCAUAACCCCCCUGCUCCCCCUCCUCCAUCAUUGUAAUCUAAUUAUCCAUAACCCCCCUGCUCCUCCUCCUCCAUCAUUGGAAUCUAAUUACCCAUAUCCCCCUGCUCCUCCUCCCCAUCAAUGUAAUCUAAUUACCCAUAACCCCCUGAUCCUAAUAAUGAGAUAAUUGAGUUAAUACAGUAUCUGACUCCAUUAUCUCCCAGACAGAGGGGAGGGAUUGUAUGCUGUUUGUGGGAGUGUCAUGCAUUGUAACAUUGUUAUUAUUGGUCUGUGACUUUGUACCGUAGUUCCCCACAAGGUCCAUUUGGGAGUGCCCCUUGCAUAGGGAUUGUCAUAAAAGGCCACGUGUGGCACCAUUAAUAUCAGUUCCAGCUUUACCCUCAACAUAGAGCCUUGCCUCAUGUUUAUAGGGACCUGCUAUACAAGCUAUAACCACUAGCUAUUGUAAGAGCUACACAGCUAUACAGGGAGUGCAGAAUUAUUAGGCAAAUGAGUAUUUUGACCACAUCAUCCUCUUUAUGCAUGUUGUCUUACUCCAAGCUGUAUAGGCUCGAAAGCCUACUACCAAUUAAGCAUAUUAGGUGAUGUGCAUCUCUGUAAUGAGAAGGGGUGUGGUCUAAUGACAUCAACACCCUAUAUCAGGUGUGCAUAAUUAUUAGGCAACUUCCUUUCCUUUGGCAAAAUGGGUCAAAAGAAGGACUUGACAGGCUCAGAAAAGUCAAAAAUAGUGAGAUAUCUUGCAGAGGGAUGCAGCACUCUUAAAAUUGCAAAGCUUCUGAAGCGUGAUCAUCGAACAAUCAAGCGUUUCAUUCAAAAUAGUCAACAGGGUCGCAAGAAGCGUGUGGAAAAACCAAGGCGCAAAAUAACUGCCCAUGAACUGAGAAAAGUCAAGCGUGCAGCUGCCACGAUGCCACUUGCCACCAGUUUGGCCAUAUUUCAGAGCUGCAACAUCACUGGAGUGCCCAAAAGCACAAGGUGUGCAAUACUCAGAGACAUGGCCAAGGUAAGAAAGGCUGAAAGACGACCACCACUGAACAAGACACACAAGCUGAAACGUCAAGACUGGGCCAAGAAAUAUCUCAAGACUGAUUUUUCUAAGGUUUUAUGGACUGAUAAAUGAGAGUGAGUCUUGAUGGGCCAGAUGGAUGGGCCCGUGGCUGGAUUGGUAAGGGCAGAGAGCUCCAGUCCGACUCAGACGCCAGCAAGGUGGAGGUGGAGUACUGGUUUGGGCUGGUAUCAUCAAAGAUGAGCUUGUGGGGCCUUUUCGGGUUGAGGAUGGAGUCAAGCUCAACUCCCAGUCCUACUGCCAGUUCCUGGAAGACACCUUCUUCAAGCAGUGGUACAGGAAGAAGUCUGCAUCCUUCAAGAAAAACAUGAUUUUCAUGCAGGACAAUGCUCCAUCACACGCGUCCAAGUACUCCACAGCGUGGCUGGCAAGAAAGGGUAUAAAAGAAGAAAAUCUAAUGACAUGGCCUCCUUGUUCACCUGAUCUGAACCCCAUUGAGAACCUGUGGUCCAUCAUCAAAUGUGAGAUUUACAAGGAGGGAAAACAGUACACCUCUCUGAACAGUGUCUGGGAGGCUGUGGUUGCUGCUGCACGCAAUGUUGAUGGUGAACAGAUCAAAACACUGACAGAAUCCAUGGAUGGCAGGCUUUUGAGUGUCCUUGCAAAGAAAGGUGGCUAUAUUGGUCACUGAUUUGUUUUUGUUUUGUUUUUGAAUGUCAGAAAUGUAUAUUUGUGAAUGUUGAGAUGUUAUAUUGGUUUCACUGGUAAUAAUAAAUAAUUGAAAUGAGUAUAUAUUUGUUUUUUGUUAAGUUGCCUAAUAAUUAUGCACAGUAAUAGUCACCUGCACACACAGAUAUCCCCCUAACAUAGCUAUAACUAAAAACAAACUAAAAACUACUUCCAAAAAUAUUCAGCUUUGAUAUUAAUGAGUUUUUUGGGUUCAUUGAGAACAUGGUUGUUGUUCAAUAAUAAAAUUAAUCCUCAAAAAUACAACUUGCCUAAUAAUUCUGCACCCCCUGUACUCUCUUGGAGGAGAGGCCUUCCGUUCCUCCCCAUCAUUAUAAUCUGUAUUACACUGGGAGCUGCUGCAGCAAGGGGGCUACGGUGCUUAUGGUCCUCAGCAUCAGCUAGGAAGCAUCGAUUGAUUGAGACAACCAGUUGGGGUGCCCGUCGGUCCGUCACACCCAUUACCCCCCUCUCACCAUCAUUAUAAUCUUUAUCUAAUUAUCCAUAAACACCUGCUCCCCAUCGUUAUAGUCUGUAUCUAAAUAUCCAUAACUUCUUCAUCCCCAUCAUUAUAAUCUGUAUCUAAUUACCAAUAACCCGUUCCUCCCCAUCAUUAUAAUCUGUAUUACACUGGGCAGCACUCUGUAUAGUGAGUAUACCUUUAAUUACCCAGAACCUCUUCCUCCCCAAUUAUUAUAAUCUGUAUUAGACAGCAUUCUGCAUUGCCCUUUAAUUACUCCUAAUAAGCGGAGCAUAAUACUGAUCCACUUGUUUUUGGGUUUUUUUGUUUUUUUUUUCCUCUGGGUGAAUUUUUCUGAUUAUCCCUCAUCUCAGAACAAGGUCAGCAUCUCCAAGAGGUCCAGAGUCCAGUGUUUGGAGAAUAAGUUAUCGAGUAACUCUCAGACAACAA